Molecule: RNase P RNA, 372 nt
Filed under: pig gut metagenome
Description: Bacterial RNase P class A
Rfam family: Bacterial RNase P class A
About the family: Ribonuclease P (RNase P) is a ubiquitous endoribonuclease, found in archaea, bacteria and eukarya as well as chloroplasts and mitochondria.
Source: RNAcentral
AGUAGGAUGAAUGAUCGCUGCCGUAUCGUAAGGGUGCGGGAGAGGAAAGUCCGGGCUUCAUAGGGCAGGAUGCCGGAUAACGUCCGGUGGAGGCAACUCCAAGGAAAGUGCAACAGAAAUAUACCGCCAGAUGUCCGUAGGGAUAUCCGGUAAGGGUGGAAGGGCAGUGUAAGAGACUACCGCCUUCCUGGUAACAGGAGGGGCACAUGUAAACCCCAUCCGAAGCAAGGCCAGAUCAAAGCGUUGACGUUGCCCGCCAGCUUUAGGUAGGCCGCUUGAGGUAACUGGUAACAGUUAUCCUAGAUAGAUGAUCAUUCGAUUGUAGCAGCUUGCUGCUAGGAUAUGACAUAACCCGGCUUACAGUCCUACUUA